AUCCUUGGCACAUUCCUGUAUUCACAGGCAAAGCAGUGAAGGAAUCAAGAAUUCAAAGGUUUUGAUGUAAGCAUUAGAUGACAGAAGAGUUAGAAUGAAGAUUCUAGUUCGGCCGGAAUGAUUGGUGAUGGCUUUUGAUUGAAAAUUUUGGCAAUGGCUUUCAAUUAACAUCACUGGUGAUGGCUUCUGGGCAAUCAAAGGGAAUCAACCUUGCUAAGGCAGUUAACUGCAGUUUCUUUUUCAAGAUCAGAGUGAUAAUCUGUAAUGUACUUAUAAUUGCUGGUGAAGUAGGUUGCAAUUUCCUUUCCUCUGUGUAAUGC
RNAcentral lists this unclassified non-coding RNA (320 nucleotides) under Hevea brasiliensis (rubber tree). Lineage: Eukaryota; Viridiplantae; Streptophyta; Magnoliopsida; Malpighiales; Euphorbiaceae. The record is from RNAcentral.